This 124-nucleotide ribosomal RNA is filed under the name Jaculus jaculus (lesser Egyptian jerboa). Lineage: Eukaryota; Metazoa; Chordata; Mammalia; Rodentia; Dipodidae. The record is from RNAcentral.
GUCUAUGGCCACACUACCUUGAACAUGCCUGAUCUUGUCUGAUCUUGGAAGUUAAGCAGGGUCAGGCCUGUUUAGUACAUGGAUGGGAGAAAUAUAAUUUAAAGAGCAGAAGGCUCCAUAAUUU